This 1197-nucleotide long non-coding RNA is filed under the name Chloebia gouldiae (Gouldian finch). RNAcentral's name for it is "Erythrura gouldiae (Gouldian finch) lncRNA (ENSEGOG00005014998.1)". Lineage: Eukaryota; Metazoa; Chordata; Aves; Passeriformes; Passeridae. The record is from RNAcentral.
AACCAACCAAAAAAAACCCCCAAAAACCCAAUGGGAAUAUUGGGGAUGCGACAAAAAUUCCCAUUCCCAUUCCAUUCCAAAAAUUCCCAUGGAAAAGGGAAUUAUGCGAGUAAACAACCCCGCAAUAAUUACCGGUAAUUAAGAUUAUUACACAUGAGGGGAGGGCAAUUAAAACCUCGCGCCCAAAGGCUGCCUCAGCAUCCUGGAAGUUCGGGAGUUCUUAUAAAACUCCAAGGAUUUGGGGCUCCCCCGGACAUUCCCGGCGAUUCCUUCCUGGAAUAUCGGUUUUCCCUGGUUUCUCCCAGAUGUGCUCGGAAUUCCGAGAGCCGUGUCCGAGGCCGGCGGCCUCCGGCUCCGGCCGGCCCUGCGCCCUCUCCUGCGGCGCUUCCCGCGUCAUCAUCUUCCCUCCUCCGGUGCUCCUCACCUUCCCGGCGCCCGUCCUCAGCACCUGCCCGCAGGAGACCGUGCUGGGAUCCUCGGGAAUGGCACUGGGAUCAUCGGGAAUGGUGCCAGGAUCAUCGGGAAUGGCGCCGGGAUCAUCGGGAACGGCGCCGGGAUCAUCGGGAAUGGCGCCGGGAUCAUCGGGAAUGGCAAUGGGAUCAUCGGGAAUGGUGCCAGGAUCAUUGGGAAUGGCGCCGGGAUCACUGGGAAUGUCAAUGGGAUCAUCGGGAAUGGCGCCGGGGUCAUCGGGAAUGGCAUUGGGAUCUAUGGGAAUGGUGCCGGGAUCAUCGGGAAUGGCAUUGGGAUCCGCGGGAACGGCGCUGGGAUCCUCGGGAACCUCCCUGAGCUCCCACGGAGCACCAAUCCCGCAUUCCGGGGGUUUCGUCCCAAAAUUGGGCCCCCGGCGAGCGUCGCGCUGCUCCUACAUUUUUCGUUCCCGCUGGAUCCAUCCCUGCCGGAGAAGCGGCUGCGGGAGCCGGCAGCCGGCCGGGAACGAGAGCCAGGAGGAAAUUCCAGGUGCGGAAAAGCCAGAAACGGAAAACGCGGAUGCAGCAAAGGAGGAAGAAGAGGUCUUGGAAGUGUGACGCGAAUCCGACCCCAAUCCAAAGGCUCUGCAGGCCCCUCCAAAGCAGAUUUGGGAAUUUAAGUUCAGCUUAAAUUGGGUUUUUUUUUUAAUGUUGGGGAUUUUUAAAUUGGGUUUUUUCUCCCCUCAGACAUUCCCAAGCGGUGGAAUAAAGCCAUAAAAUAACAAUUUCA